Molecule: ribosomal RNA, 804 nt
Filed under: uncultured Thermales bacterium
Lineage: Bacteria; Thermotogati; Deinococcota; Deinococci; Thermales
Description: bacterial SSU rRNA
Rfam family: Bacterial small subunit ribosomal RNA
Source: RNAcentral
GUAAAGGGCGUGUAGGCGGUCAUAUAAGUCCGAUGCUAAAGACUGAGGCUCAACCUCAGGGGUGCGUUGGAUACUGUGUGACUAGACGAUCGGAGAGGGUAGCGGAAUUCUCGGAGUAGCGGUGAAAUGCGCAGAUACCGAGAGGAACGCCAAUAGCGAAAGCAGCUACCUGGACGAUAUUGUGACGCUGAGGCGCGAAAGCGUGGGGAGCAAACCGGAUUAGAUACCCGGGUAGUCCACGCCCUAAACGAUGAGUGCUGGGUGUCCGGCUUUUGCUGGGUGCCGAAGCUAACGCGAUAAGCACUCCACCUGGGAAGUACGGUCGCAAGACUGAAACUCAAAGGAAUUGACGGGGGCCCGCACAAGCGGUGGAGCAUGUGGUUUAAUUCGAAGCGACGCGAAGAACCUUACCAGGUCUUGACAUCUAGACAAUCCCGAUGAAAGUUGGGAGUGCCCGCAAGGGAGCUCUAAGACAGGUGCUGCAUGGUCGUCGUCAGCUCGUGUCGUGAGAUGUUGGGUUAAGUCCCGCAACGAGCGCAACCCUUAUCCCUAGUUGCCAGCAGGUAAGGCUGGGCACUCUAAGGAGACUGCCCACGAAAGUGGGAGGAAGGCGGGGAUGACGUCUGAUCCGCAUGGCCCUUACGACCUGGGCUACACACGUGCUACAAUGGGUGGAUCAAAGCGAAGCUACCUUGCAAGAGGACGCCAAUCGCAUAACCCCAUCCUCAGUUCGGAUUGAGGUCUGCAACCCGGCCUCAUGAAGCUGGAAUCGCUAGUAAUCGCAGAUCAGCCAUGCUGCGGUGA